CUUCACUGGUGCCUGGUAACCAGCGACCAAUAGGACGCUUGUGUGUGAGCGCGGAGAAACUGAUUGUAUUGUGUGUGUGUUCGUCGCGGUAUCUGUGUAUUUUGCGACGCUAAAAUUUAGUUUCAGGAUUUUAACCUCCACCCACAAUGAGUCUGUCCCUGAGGCCUGAACUUGCAGCAGACAAAAACAAACGCAAGAAGAGGAGAGAGCUCACUGAGGACCAGAAACAUGAAAUCAAAGAAGCUUUUGACCUGUUUGACACUGACAAAGACAAAGAAAUCGACUACCAUGAGCUGAAGGUGGCGAUGCGGGCACUUGGCUUUGAGGUGAAGAAAGUGGAUGUUUUGAAGAUUCUCAAAGACUAUGACAGAGAGGGAAAUGGCAAAAUAACAUUUGAGGAUUUCAGUGAAGUUGUGACCGAUCGCAUCCUGGAGCGAGACCCGAAGGAGGAGAUCCUGAAGGCCUUCAAGCUGUUUGAUGACGACGAAUCAGGAAAGAUCAGCCUGAGGAACCUGAGGCGAGUCGCUCGAGAACUCGGGGAGAACAUCAGCGACGAGGAGCUGCGCAGCAUGAUCGACGAGUUUGACGCUGACGGAGACGGUGAAAUAAACCAGGAGGAGUUCGUCUCCAUCAUGACCGGAGACUCAUGAUGAAGAGCUUGGAGUCGGUUCGAUGGUCCAUGUUGAAGUUGAGUGACUGAACAUCUGAGCGUGAAGGUGAAGGCGUGAGUCGGCCUCCUGUGGACGGCCUGACUCGAGGUGCAUAAACUUCCCUUGUGCCCCCCCUCCACCCAACCCCUGAAACCCCAGCAUGCAAUAGGGGGUGGUCCAUCGAAGACACACACAGGUCAGUAUGAACAACUGUCUUUACGUGUCUGAAAGUACAUUGAAAAGAGAUGAAAAACGUUUUUCACUGCAGGCACAUCGUUCAGUAACGUGUUGGGGCUUCACAAACUGACACACACACUGAUUUUGUUAUUUUGACAAUGAUGGAAGACGAGUUUUUCCACACGGCGCCACCAUGAGGCAGACAUUUGAGGGUUUUAGUCUGGACAGCUGUGGGAUGAUUAUUUAGUCUCUCGUGGUAUUUGUUUUGCAUGUGUCGCUGGUCAUUUUGUAUCCGUUUUCAGUACUUUGUUGUGUCUUUUUAGUUUUGCACCUCAUUUUGAAUCCUUCUGCAGUUUCAUUUCUCUUUGAGGUACUUUGAGGUUCUGGUCUGGGAGGCCCAGGGCCUGUAUCAGUACGCCUGUUUGCCCCCUUGUUUACCUGCCAGGGUCAGGGUGGGAUCCACUAGGCAUCCCCUUUAUUUAGAAUGAGCAAAUCACCUCCCUCCUAACACCCUUUAACUGUUUGUUGGGGGGGGUGACCUUUUGGAUUCAAAGGGGUGUCCAUGUCAGCCCUUUGGCUUCACCCCUGUCGUUUAUCAAGACUGUAUAUAAUAUUUACUGAUGUAUUUUAUGUCCACUUGUCUGCUUUUAAACGCUGCAGCAUGUCGUCAUCCCGCAGCCUUCCUGCUGUACCUCCGCUGUCCACCAGAGGGAGUCACUCUCUCUUCUUAAAGCCGACGCUCGUGGUGACACUGAGCAGCAGAUCAGAGAUCAGCCAGUCGUUUUCUGUUCACUUCCAUCAUGAGAGUCACUUUCACCCAAAUCAGAGCAGAGAAUCUCUUUGGAUUAAUUUCAACCAGUCUUUGUAAAUCCUUUUCAAUUAGCUGAAUUGGGUAAAGUAAUUAUUUCCAAAGUGAAUAGCAGCGACCAUUUGUAUAAUUGGUGAAUGAUGAAACUGCAUCCAGUGAAGAGGUGCUCGGGGACACUUUUAACUUGUCUCCCAUAUGAUGAUAAAUGUGUUGACAUAAUGAAGCCAAAGCUACAGUCACACACACUGACCACAAAACCGGUUCAGGCGGAUCCUCGUCAGCUCCCUGUUAUUUGACUCCCCGCAGACCCUCACAUGUUGGUUUAGACCAGUGCUUCUCAAUUAUUUUC
RNA transcript from Scatophagus argus, 1984 nucleotides. It is a transcript of the gene named centrin 3, with no coding region annotated. NCBI's taxonomy places the organism in Eukaryota, Metazoa, Chordata, Actinopteri, Scatophagidae. The transcript is spliced from 6 exons. The record is from RefSeq and is a predicted model, not a curated record.